AUACCUUUCUCGGCCUUUUGGCUAAGAUCAAGUGUAGUAUCUGUUCUUAUCAGUUUAAUAUCUGAUAUGUGGAUCAUUGGUCCACACGAUAUUAAAUUACUUUUUUGAUGGGGAGGGUCCGAUACAGUAGCUUGCUACUGGGGUUCUCAAGUGUCGUCCAUGCGUUACACUAUAGUUUGGGCUUGGCACACCCUAC
Molecule: non-coding RNA, 196 nt
Organism: Glycine max (soybean)
Lineage: Eukaryota; Viridiplantae; Streptophyta; Magnoliopsida; Fabales; Fabaceae
Source: Rfam